Molecule: ribosomal RNA, 296 nt
Filed under: Staphylococcus succinus subsp. succinus
Lineage: Bacteria; Bacillati; Bacillota; Bacilli; Caryophanales; Staphylococcaceae
Description: partial 16S ribosomal RNA
Rfam family: Bacterial small subunit ribosomal RNA
Source: RNAcentral
CUCGUGUCGUGAGAUGUUGGGUUAAGUCCCGCAACGAGCGCAACCCUUAAGCUUAGUUGCCAUCAUUAAGUUGGGCACUCUAGGUUGACUGCCGGUGAUAAACCGGAGGAAGGUGGGGAUGACGUCAAAUCAUCAUGCCCCUUAUGAUUUGGGCUACACACGUGCUACAAUGGACAAUACAAAGGGCAGCUAAACCGUGAGGUCAUGCAAAUCCCAUAAAGUUGUUCUCAGUUCGGAUUGUAGUCUGCAACUCGACUACAUGAAGCUGGAAUCGCUAGUAAUCGUAGAUCAGCAUG